CCGGGAGGGAAGGGGCUGCCCUCCAGCUGCGGAGGUAAGGUACGAGCGCCCAGAGAGCCAGGAGCGCAGGCAAAAGGAGAGAGGAGCUUUCGGGCCGUCUGGGAGAGACAGAAGAAAGUUGUUAAAAGCACAUACAUCUGCUGCUCAAGACUGCACUCGUUCGGAGCCUCCAGAAGCAGACACUGUUGGCCCUGCCCUCAAGGAGCUGACAAAUUCAACUAGACUUGGAGAGAUUGGAAAAGAUCGUUGAAAAGCAUCUCUAAAGAGAACUACGCCACAAAUACCAACCACCCUGAUGGGCCAGGAUGGCUUGGAAGCCAAACAAAAAUAAGUAGUAUCAAUGAUAAAUGAGGUUAAGGAGGUCAGUGUAGAGCAGAGGCUGAACCUGGAGGAUGAAUCAGAUUUGGAAUGAGGCUGGAUAGGGAGGAAAUAAGAGAUGUUAGGCUGGAUAGGGAGGAAAACACUUGCCCACCUUCACCUCCCGCCCCACAAUACAACUAAAGCUAAGGGGUGCGGAGAGAGAUGUUGAUGGAUAUAUCCUAUCGCAGUGAAGAAUAACCGCAGGUUUUCUUACAUGACAGGGUGAAUGGGUAUUUUGGAAAGAUUAGCCUGGGGACCUCUCUGGUGGUCCAGUGGGUAAGACUCCACGCUGCCAGUGCAGGGGGCCGGGUUCCGUCCUUAGCUGGGGAAUUAGAUCCCACAUGCGUGCCACAACUAAGAUGUAGCACAGCCAAAAUAAAUAAAUAUUCCUUUUAAAGAAAGAAAGAUUAGCCUGUUUUG
This is a long non-coding RNA of Globicephala melas (long-finned pilot whale), 780 nucleotides long. RefSeq lists it as uncharacterized. The record is from RefSeq and is a predicted model, not a curated record. Lineage: Eukaryota; Metazoa; Chordata; Mammalia; Artiodactyla; Delphinidae.